UCUCAAUUCCAAACUUUGUCUC
This 22-nucleotide non-coding RNA is filed under the name Mus musculus (house mouse). The record is from RNAcentral. Lineage: Eukaryota; Metazoa; Chordata; Mammalia; Rodentia; Muridae.